RNAcentral lists this ribosomal RNA (292 nucleotides) under uncultured microorganism. Its description in RNAcentral is "partial 16S ribosomal RNA". It matches the Rfam family "Bacterial small subunit ribosomal RNA", at positions 505 to 796 of the family's 1533-position model. The record is from RNAcentral.
GUGCCAGCAGCCGCGGUAAUACGGAGGGUGCAAGCGUUAAUCGGAAUUACUGGGCGUAAAGCGCACGCAGGCGGUCUGUCAAGUCGGAUGUGAAAUCCCCGGGCUCAACCUGGGAACUGCAUUCGAAACUGGCAGGCUAGAGUCUUGUAGAGGGGGGUAGAAUUCCAGGUGUAGCGGUGAAAUGCGUAGAGAUCUGGAGGAAUACCGGUGGCGAAGGCGGCCCCCUGGACAAAGACUGACGCUCAGGUGCGAAAGCGUGGGGAGCAAACAGGAUUAAAUACCCUGGUAGUCC